This 1175-nucleotide long non-coding RNA is filed under the name Dromaius novaehollandiae (emu). RNAcentral's name for it is "lncRNA (ENSDNVG00000000063.1)". The record is from RNAcentral. Lineage: Eukaryota; Metazoa; Chordata; Aves; Casuariiformes; Dromaiidae.
CGCUGGAGCGAGGGACGGGCCCCCGGCCGCAGCCCGCCGCCCCCCCGGCGCUCGGGAAAGGGCCGCGGCGGCAACAGGACGGGCAGGUUCAUAAAUCUCAGCCCUGGCAAGGCCGGCGGGAGCGCGCGCGGCUCUCCGGGGAGGCACGGCCCGCCACCCCCAACGUCCUCGGCCGCUGCGGCCGCCCUUCCCGGGCUCCAAAGUCCCCGGCAGCUUCGCUUCCCACCUCCCGGCCGCGGGAAUCGUCAUCCCGGCUCUCCGCAGACCCUGCUCCCCGGCAGCCGCUCGCGGCGAGAGGCCUCGGGACCAAAGGGCAGAGCCGGGCGCGGACCCGCCGGGGCUCCCCGCACGGAAAGGCACCGCGCUCCCCCCGCGAAGCCGGUCCCGAUGCUCCUCAACGCGAAUGAGGUGACACGGCUCCUGCAGGGUCGAGGCGCGAAACGACCCUCCCCAAACCCGCGCAGCCCCCGUGUCCUCGCGUGAGCGGGCGCCGGCUUGGGGAGCAAAAACGGGCAAAAAUGAGUGUCCUCGGCGCGCUUUCGCAUCCCCCGAGCCCAAGCAGGCACAGCCGGGCGAGCGGGGACGGGCCAGCGCGCUUCGGGCUGCUUGGGAUCGCUGGAUCUGUGCUUUACUAGACGGAGACGCCGGAGCAAAAGGAAGUGCUUCAGCAGCAAAAACCUCCGCGUGGAACCUGAACCUGGUCACAGUCAUGCCCUCGAAUAAUGAGAUAUUCUCGUGCUCUGCUGGAAUAACCGCCCAACGGCUUUUCCAAUCCAUUAGUUAUUCCGGAUCCUUCAACUUGUCACGGGGAAAARCCCAACAGCAGCAACCACGGACAACCCCAGCGGUGCUCGCGGCCCCGGAACCGGGCGUUUUGCCCCCGGAGCGCGGGGGGCUCCCACCCCGCGUCGCCCGAGGACUCCCGCACCCGCUCACCCUCUUUGUCAGCCUUGAAAACAGGUAAAUACACUCAACAUCCUCGGAGAAAUAUGCCAAGAAUUUAUACACAUGGAUUAUAAAACAGGCCCUCUACAUAAAUGAUCUAUCUAAUCUGCAUCUCUCUGUACACACAGGAAGGAUUAGGGCCGUAGGUGUGCUGCGCUCAGCGCUCCGCGCGCUCGCCCCUCACCCCGCGCCAGCCCCGGCUCCGGGGCGCGACGGCGGGUCCCGUCUCC